RNAcentral lists this long non-coding RNA (960 nucleotides) under Felis catus (domestic cat). RNAcentral's name for it is "lncRNA (ENSFCAG00000046959.1)". Lineage: Eukaryota; Metazoa; Chordata; Mammalia; Carnivora; Felidae. The record is from RNAcentral.
CCUCUGUGAAGUGAAGAGAAGAAUAAAGCCUACUUCACAAGGAGUAAAUGAGACGCACCAAGUUCUCAGCGCGGCGCUGGGCACGUAGCAAACCCUGGUGACGGUGGUAGGUGGUAACCGUGGGGAUAAGGAUAAAGGUAGUGAACGGUAACCAUGGUGAUGGCUGAAUGUGGUGAUGAUGGUGAUGAUGAUUUAAUGCUUGCUGACCGAGUGAACAAUGCAGGAGGAAAAGGGGGCUAUUAUCAGUUUCUAGAAGACUCCAGACAUGAUAAACUGGGUGUUGGAGGAAGAGGAAAUGGCAGCCGCAGGAAGCUUUUGUUUGGCAGGAGGAGGAAGAGCCGGGCCGCACCGAGAGGAGCCCCCAGUGCCACAUGUUCUGAGUUCCUCCUACCACGCCUGCCAGAGCCCAGGUGGGCGUGGGGCCCGAGGAAGCCCUUGCCACCCAGCGAGUGGGGCUCCAGAGGCCGGGCACUACCACCGGGAGAGGUGACAGCUGUCAGCACCGAGGAGAAGAACAUUCUGAGGCCCAAGAAUAGCCCGACCGCAAGACAGGGAGGUGCUGUCUCUGAAGCAUCGCCCUCCUCCCUGGAGCAGAAAAGACUGCAUAUUUGGAGACCCCGAGGUUUCCUGGAACCUCCAGGAGAAGAGGCUGUACCCCAGCUAUUUUGGAGAUAAACAUGAUCUUCAGUGAUUCAGGGGAGAAAAAAGCGACCGUUCAGCCUGAUGGUCGAGACGAUCGCUGUUGACACUGUGUUCAUACCCACUUUAUUCCCAGCGGCCGAAAGGUGGAAACAACCCAAGUGCCCGUCAACAGAGGAAUGGUAAAACAGAAUGUGGUGUGUUCGUACAGCAAAAUACUAUUCGGCCACCCGAAGAAAUGAAAUCUUGAUAUAGAUGCUACAAAGUGGGUGGGCCUGAGAAAUGUCACACUAGGUGAAAUAAACCAGACGCAGAAGGACA